This is a long non-coding RNA of Sinocyclocheilus grahami, 426 nucleotides long. RefSeq lists it as uncharacterized. Lineage: Eukaryota; Metazoa; Chordata; Actinopteri; Cypriniformes; Cyprinidae. The record is from RefSeq and is a predicted model, not a curated record. The transcript has 5 exons.
UGAGCAGAAACAGAUUGUUUCACGGGAAGGAAACCCAAGUGUGUGAGGCAGAUAUAGAGCGAAGAGAAAACUGCUGUCGCCCACUAAAAUAAUAAUAAUAAAUAUAUAACGUUAAAGGACUAAAACACGAGAUCUACGGCAUCAGUAUCCACAGCACUUCACUUUGAAGUAACAGAGUGUUAUUUGCAGUCUUCUGCCAUGGCUACAAAUAAUGGUUACCCAAUUGACCUCCAACCACAGAAAAAUGCAAUUCAUCCCGCCCCUUCUUAUAACCAGGGACCAGCUAUACCAGGCCCAGGUCAAGUGCUCAUGAUGCCAGUUCCACAAAGACCCGCUGGCUGCCCACCAGGAUUGGAGUACCUGACCCAGAUUGAUCAACUUCUUGUACAGCAGAAAGUUGAGCUGGCUGAAGGUAAUUUUGUGAUG